GUCGAACGCUGGCGGCGUGCCUAACACAUGCAAGUCGAGCGGGGAUUGUGGAGAGCUUGCUCAAAGCAAUUCUAGCGGCGGACGGGUGAGUAACGCGUGAGCAACCUGCCUCAAACAGGGGGAUAACGCAUCGAAAGAUGUGCUAAUACCGCGUAAGACCACAGCUUCACAUGGAGCAGGGGUCAAAGGAGCAAUCCGGUUUGAGAUGGGCUCGCGUCCGAUUAGCUAGUUGGUGAGAUAACAGCCCACCAAGGCGACGAUCGGUAGCCGACCUGAGAGGGUGAUCGGCCACAUUGGGAACUGAGAUACGGUCCAGACUCCUACGGGAGCAGCAGUGGGGAAUAUUGGGCAAUGGGCGAAAGCCUGACCCAGCAACGCCGCGUGAGGGAGAGGGUUU
Molecule: ribosomal RNA, 397 nt
Filed under: uncultured bacterium
Lineage: Bacteria
Description: bacterial SSU rRNA
Rfam family: Bacterial small subunit ribosomal RNA
Source: RNAcentral